Molecule: ribosomal RNA, 326 nt
Filed under: Eubacterium sp.
Lineage: Bacteria; Bacillati; Bacillota; Clostridia; Eubacteriales; Eubacteriaceae
Description: bacterial SSU rRNA
Rfam family: Bacterial small subunit ribosomal RNA
Source: RNAcentral
UUUUUUGAGAGUUUGAUCCUGGCUCAGGAUAAACGCGGGCGGCGAGCUUAACACCGGCAAGUCGAACGGAGUGGUUCUCCCGAGGAUUGAAGGUGCUUGCACCAGAUUGACUCAAUUGAAUCACUUAGUGGCGGACGGGUGAGUAACGCGUGGGUAACCUGCCUCACACUGGGGGAUAGCAGUUGGAAACGACUGAUAAUACCGCAUAAGCGCACAAUACCGCAUGGUAUAGUGUGAAAAACUCCGGUGGUGUGAGAUGGACCCGCGUCUGAUUAGCUAGUUGGUGAUGUAACGGCCCACCAAGGCGACGAUCAGUAGCCGGCCUG